Mesocricetus auratus (golden hamster) is the source of this 2059-nucleotide long non-coding RNA. RefSeq lists it as uncharacterized. The transcript is spliced from 3 exons. NCBI's taxonomy places the organism in Eukaryota, Metazoa, Chordata, Mammalia, Rodentia, Cricetidae. The record is from RefSeq and is a predicted model, not a curated record.
CGCCGCCGCCGCCGCCGCCGCCACCGCCGCCGCGCCCGGCCCCGCCCUCCGCACGAGGCCCCGCCUCACCCCGACCUCCAGGCCACGCCCCUGAGCGGCGCUCCGCCCCUUGCAGGUCCCUGUGGCGCUCGCGGUGGGGACUGGUGGUGGGUUUUUGCUCACCAGAACUGUCAACUCAGCAGUGGCAAACCUGGUUUGGCUGUAUAAAACCUGGGCUCACGGCUUCGGCGGGCAAUGAGCGCCCCUGGCUCGGUCACUUCUGCAACUGGCCAGCAGUCGUACGCCUAUCUUUGCCUUGAAACGGAAUUAAUACUUCCAACAACAGAAAAAUGGCUUGCGGGAGACACUACUGGGAAAGUAGUUCCAGUCACACGGAGUUGAUACAGGACAAACUGCCACAUGAGCAAUGAUGCUGGCCUUCACGGUACUGGGAUAUAAUAAAGUCUGCACGGAAGAAAGGAUGUUCUUCAGGUCUGGGUCCUGCUACGCAGUUUCGAACUGUUUUCUUCCAUGUGGACUUCUGUCUCUCCGGCCUGUCUGGUCUUCAUGUGUGGAAGUGUCACGUCCACAGGCAAAGGAAGAGGAGGAGAAACUUCUACUGAGACACACCUGCGUCAGAUAAAGUGAAACUUCUUCAUUCAAUGGCUGGUGGAAAGUGGGCGGGGCCAGUCUCCUCAAAGUCUGUACGUGUGAAGUACCUAGCGUUCACCAAGGGAGCCAUGCACUGGUUAGGAUGUACACGGACUCCCCAUUUUCAUUUAGACAACCGGAAAACUAGAAGGCUAGAGUGAUUGCUUGGUAAGAAGGGGAAAGACUCAAGGAGAAGGCUCAGGAAGAGGAUCAGUGUGGCUUGGGAAACGCUAAAUUUGAGACGCUCAUUAAGCAUUCAAGAAGAAAUGCUGAAAGCCGGGCGUUGGUGGCGCACGCCUUUAAUCCCAGCACUCGGGAGGCAGAGGCAGGCGGAUCUCUGUGAGUUCGAGGCCAGCCUGGUCUACAGAGCGAGUUCCAGGACAGCCUCCAAAGCCACAGAGAAACCCUGUCUCGAAAAACCAAAAAAAAAAAAAAAUGCUGAGCUGAUGUGAUAUUUGAUUCGGGAAUGAGGCGAGGCUGGGGCCUACGUCCCUUUGGUGGUGCUGUGGUGUUGGGCUCUGCCAUGGGGAAUUCUCAAUACACAGAAAGUGUGCACCUCACAGAUCUAGACAGAGGCUGGGAAGUGUGUAGAGGGGCUGCCUCUGGUGAGGGCCUUCUUGCUGAUGCACAGUUUGUGAUUGUACUUUUAAAUCUUUUGUCCUGAACAUUUCUCUUUGGUGAACAUUUCUAUAGGCCUGGUGGGUAUUCUUGUAGGGGGUGGGGCACUGCCGCCUUGAAUUUUUAUGUUGUUUAUAUUUUGGGAUGAGAUCUGGGCAGGUGGACUUCUUUUGUUAGUUCUGUGUCUGAUAUGGACAGAGCAAGCUGGGGCAGAUCCAGGAUGUGCGAGCCAGGUUGGCCUUAAAGGAGAAUGAUAGCUUAGAUGGAAUGAAGUCAGGUAGACACAGAGGGGUGGUGGUGUGUAGUUUUGGUCCAAGCCUGGAGUUUGGAGGUAGAUUAGGAGAUUGGGGAGGGCGUGUGUAAGGGAAGAUCAAAAUGACUAACUCAGCUAGACCCCAGCACAGGAUGUGCAGUAUCUGUCUGGGCAGAGAGGCUGGGGUGAUGUGGGAAGGGCCUGUAGGUUAGAGGUAGGCUGGAGCACUGAAUGGGAGUCCUGGAGAGGAUCCAUGGAGGGAAGGACAGGAACACUGUAAUAGCUAUUCCUGUCCACCAACUUAACUACAUCUGGAAUGAACUAAAACCCAAGCCGUUGUGUAUACCUGUAAGGGUUUUUCUUUUCUUUUAAUUUUAUUUUUAUUUAUUGAGCAUCGAUUAGUGUUUUGCCUAAAUGUAUGUCUGUGUGAGAGUAUCAGAUUCUUUGGAACUGGAAUUACAGAUAGUUGUGAGUUGACAGGGAAUUGAACCUUUGAGUCAUCUCUCUAGCCCCGAGGGUUUUUUUUUCCUCUUAAAUAAAUCAUGUGAAGUGAGAAGA